This 772-nucleotide ribosomal RNA is filed under the name uncultured bacterium. RNAcentral describes it as "bacterial SSU rRNA". It matches the Rfam family "Bacterial small subunit ribosomal RNA", at positions 574 to 1345 of the family's 1533-position model. The record is from RNAcentral.
GGUGGUUUGUCGCGUCGUCUGUGAAAUCCCGGGGCUUAACCUCGGGCGUGCAGGCGAUACGGGCAUAACUUGAGUGCUGUAGGGGAGACUGGAAUUCCUGGUGUAGCGGUGAAAUGCGCAGAUAUCAGGAGGAACACCAAUGGCGAACGCAGGUCUCUGGGCAGUAACUGACGCUGAGGAGCGAAAGCAUGGGUAGCGAACAGGAUUAGAUACCCUGGUAGUCCAUGCCGUAAACGGUGGGCGCUAGGUGUAGGGGACUUCCACGUCUUCUGUGCCGCAGCUAACGCAUUAAGCGCCCCGCCUGGGGAGUACGGCCGCAAGGCUAAAACUCAAAGGAAUUGACGGGGGCCCGCACAAGCGGCGGAGCAUGUGGAUUAAUUCGAUGCAACGCGAAGAACCUUACCUGGGCUUGACAUACACCAGAUCGCUGCAGAGAUGUAGCUUCCCUUGUGGCUGGUGUACAGGUGGUGCAUGGUUGUCGUCAGCUCGUGUCGUGAGAUGUUGGGUUAAGUCCCGCAACGAGCGCAACCCUUGUCUUAUGUUGCCAUCACGUGAUGGUGGGCACUCAUGAGAGACUGCCGGGGUUAACUCGGAGGAAGGUGGGGAUUACGUCAAAUCAUCAUGCCCCUUAUGUCCAGGGCUUCACACAUGCUACAAUGGUCGGUACAGCGAGUUGCCACACCGUGAGGUGGAGCUAAUCUCUCAAAGCCGGCCUCAGUUCGGAUUGGGGUCUGCAACUCGACCCCAUGAAGUCGGAGUCGCUAGUAAUCGC